GAUAAACGCUGGCGGCGUGCCUAACACAUGCAAGUCGAACGAUCCCGCAAGGGAGAGUGGCGGAAGGGUGAGUAACACGUGGGAAUCUACCUCCUCGCAGGGAACAACCUCUCGAAAGAGAGGCUAAUACCCAAAAGGGUCAGAAAUGAUCAGAGUCGAAAGGCGUGAGGAGAGGAGCCCGCGGCCCAUCAGCUAGUUGGUGAGGUAAUGGCUUACCAAGGCUACGACGGGUAGGGAUCUGAGAGGAUGUCCCCCACACUGGAACUGAAACACGGUCCAGACGCCUACGGGUGGCAGCAGUGAGGAAUAUUGGACAAUGGGCGAAAGCCCGAUCCAGCAACGCCGCGUGGAGGAUG
Molecule: ribosomal RNA, 356 nt
Filed under: uncultured bacterium
Lineage: Bacteria
Description: bacterial SSU rRNA
Rfam family: Bacterial small subunit ribosomal RNA
Source: RNAcentral